GAUGAACGCUGGCGGCGUGCCUAAUACAUGCAAGUCGAGCGAACAGAUGAGGAGCUUGCUCCUCUGACGUUAGCGGCGGACGGGUGAGUAACACGUGGAUAACCUACCUAUAAGACUGGGAUAACUACGGGAAACCGGAGCUAAUACCGGAUAAUAUAUUGAACCGCAUGGUUCAAUAGUGAAAGACGGUUUUGCUGUCACUUAUAGAUGGAUCCGCGCCGCAUUAGCUAGUUGGUAAGGUAACGGCUUACCAAGGCAACGAUGCGUAGCCGACCUGAGAGGGUGAUCGGCCACACUGGAACUGAGACACGGUCCAGACUCCUACGGGAGGCAGCAGUAGGGAAUCUUCCGCAAUGGGCGAAAGCCUGACGGAGCAACGCCGCGUGAGUGAUGAAGGUCUUCGGAUCGUAAAACUCUGUUAUUAGGGAAGAACAAAUGUGUAAGUAACUAUGCACGUCUUGACGGGACCUAAUCAGAAAGCCACGGCUAACUACGU
This 496-nucleotide ribosomal RNA is filed under the name uncultured bacterium. RNAcentral's name for it is "partial 16S ribosomal RNA". It matches the Rfam family "Bacterial small subunit ribosomal RNA", at positions 28 to 506 of the family's 1533-position model. The record is from RNAcentral.